GGACGAACGCUGGCGGCGUGCUUAACACAUGCAAGUCGAGCGGUAAGGCCCUUUCGGGGGUACACGAGCGGCGAACGGGUGAGUAACACGUGGGUGACCUGCCUUUAGCUCUGGGAUAAGCCUGGGAAACUGGGUCUAAUACCGGAUACGACUCCGCGGUGCAUGCUGUGGGGUGGAAAGCCUUGUGCGGCUGGAGAUGGGCCCGCGGCCUAUCAGCUUGUUGGUGGGGUGAUGGCCUACCAAGGCGACGACGGUAGCCGGCCUGAGAGGGCGUCCGGCCACACUGGGACUGAGACACGGCCCAGACUCCUACGGGAGGCAGCAGUGGGGAAGUAUUGCGCAAUGGGCGGAAGCCUGACGCAGCGACGCCGCGUGGGGAUGAUGGCC
This 387-nucleotide ribosomal RNA is filed under the name uncultured bacterium. RNAcentral describes it as "bacterial SSU rRNA". It matches the Rfam family "Bacterial small subunit ribosomal RNA", at positions 27 to 416 of the family's 1533-position model. The record is from RNAcentral.